GAUGAACGCUGACAGAAUGCUUAACACAUGCAAGUCUACUUGAUCCUUCGGGUGAAGGUGGCGGACGGGUGAGUAACGCGUAAAGAACUUGCCUUACAGACUGGGACAACAUUUGGAAACGAAUGCUAAUACCGGAUAUUAUGAUUGGGUCGCAUGAUCUGGUUAUGAAAGCUAUAUGCGCUGUGAGAGAGCUUUGCGUCCCAUUAGUUAGUUGGUGAGGUAACGGCUCACCAAGACGAUGAUGGGUAGCCGGCCUGAGAGGGUGAACGGCCACAAGGGGACUGAGACACGGCCCUUACUCCUACGGGAGGCAGCAGUGGGGAAUAUUGGACAAUGGACCAAAAGUCUGAUCCAGCAAUUCUGUGUGCACGAUGAAGUUUUUCGGAAUGUAAAGUGCUUUCAGUUGGGAAGAAGUCAGUGACGGUACCAACAGAAGAAGCGACGGCUAAAUACGUGCCAGCAGCCGCGGUAAUACGUAUGUCGCAAGCGUUAUCCGGAUUUAUUGGGCGUAAAGCGCGUCUAGGCGGCUUAGUAAGUCUGAUGUGAAAAUGCGGGGCUCAACCCCGUAUUGCGUUGGAAACUGCUAAACUAGAGUACUGGAGAGGUAGGCGGAACUACAAGUGUAGAGGUGAAAUUCGUAGAUAUUUGUAGGAAUGCCGAUGGGGAAGCCAGCCUACUGGACAGAUACUGACGCUAAAGCGCGAAAGCGUGGGUAGCAAACAGGAUUAGAUACCCUGGUAGUCCACGCCGUAAACGAUGAUUACUAGGUGUUGGGGGUCGAACCUCAGCGCCCAAGCUAACGCGAUAAGUAAUCCGCCUGGGGAGUACGUACGCAAGUG
This 839-nucleotide ribosomal RNA is filed under the name Fusobacterium sp. SRBBR5. RNAcentral describes it as "bacterial SSU rRNA". It matches the Rfam family "Bacterial small subunit ribosomal RNA", at positions 28 to 894 of the family's 1533-position model. Lineage: Bacteria; Fusobacteriati; Fusobacteriota; Fusobacteriia; Fusobacteriales; Fusobacteriaceae. The record is from RNAcentral.